Oncorhynchus tshawytscha (Chinook salmon) is the source of this 616-nucleotide long non-coding RNA. The record is from Ensembl. NCBI's taxonomy places the organism in Eukaryota, Metazoa, Chordata, Actinopteri, Salmoniformes, Salmonidae.
GACUGAAGAAUGGAAACACACAAAACACUUGAUUCCUUUCCUGUUUGGGCUUCUGAAUGAGAUGAAUACUAGAUUGGUAAACAGCCUAGUUCCAGCUGAACAGAUCAAGAAGACGUCAGAUUGGUUCUUCAAGGAAGUGGUGAACACAUUUCUUCCAUCUCAAACAAACCAAGAUCAUGCAGAAGGUGGUGCUCCUGAGUUUGAGAUAGAUCUUCUGUUUUUGUGUCAGUGCUUGUAUGAAUAUCAGUCUACUGAGGCCUGUCAGCUUCUCCUGGACAAACUGGACUAUCAUCUAGACCUGAGUGGAGAACAUCUUGAUCCUCACCAGUGCUGUGCAGUCUCUUAUGUGACCAGUCAGUCUGCAGAGAGAAAGGUUGGAUUGGACCUGAACGGCUGUACUGUGUCAGACCAAGGAGUAAGGCUGAUACUGGGCUCUCUGAAGAAUGUCAGACAUCUUGGACCAUCCUCUGAUGAUUCAUCUGACCCCUCAGUGCUGCUCUAUCAACUCUGGACAACUUUGCUGAGCAGUGAGACAGAGAUGGAUUUCACCAGCUUACUUUGCCUCUGUGGAAAUGAGUUGCACCUUCCAGUCCAGGGUGAAAAACAAGUGUUUGAG